Molecule: unclassified non-coding RNA, 141 nt
Filed under: uncultured Dothideomycetes
Lineage: Eukaryota; Fungi; Ascomycota; Dothideomycetes
Description: sequence contains ITS2
Source: RNAcentral
AAACCAUCAAGCCCAGCUUGGUCUUGGACGCGGUUGAGUGACCCGUCCGUAACCCGUUGGCAGUGCAGUCCGGCUUCAAGCGUAGCAAGAAUUUCGCUUCAGAAGUCCGCGGCGGCGCCCGCCAGAUAACCACAUCCCAAA